UGGGGCCCAAGCUAGUUGGUGGGCAAGCCAGGACCAGAACACUUGGCCCCAGCACCCACGUGUACCUGUGUGCUCAACCUGCAUCCUCACCUCCAAGAGCGCACACAGUCCUAGCGGAAGCCUGGGCUCUGAGCCAGCCUGCUGGGGCUGGAAUCCAGGCUGUGUGACUCUGGGCAUGUGUCUCGACCUCUCUGUGCUCCAAGUGUCCUCAUCUAUAAAUGUGGGUGAUAACAGCACCUACCUCUUAGGGUUGCCGUGGGGAUUAAAUCUAGCCAUUUAUUUUUUUAAACUACUACUCACAUUGGUGCUUACCACAUGUCAGACACCGUUCUGAGCACUUUAUAAAAGUUAAGCUGUUCCUAACGACCCUGACCAGACAGGUCUCACAUUUUAUACUUAAGGAAACUGAGUCACGGCGAGCCUAACUCAGUCAGUAAGUGGCAGAGUUGGCAUGCAAACCAGACAGUCCAGGUCCAGGGUCCCUGCUCUUAGAUUACCUGCUGACUCCCAAUAUGGACACUAGAAAACAGGAGGUACUUAACUGUUUAAAAUACCAAUUAUCGUUUAUUAGAUCCGAGCCACAGGAGCUGUAGCUAAUGGUGGCUGUGGCCUGUGAUCGUGAUCUGGGGGGCAGGCAGCCCCCACCCCUGGGGCUUUCCUUCUCCUCUUUCUCCUUGCACCCCCGAAAGGGAAGCCGAGGCCCUGGAAAUCUCUGCUGCUGUCUGCCGUGGGUGCCGCCCAGGCAGGGCUCGUGGCUCCUCCGUCGUAUUCCAGGGGGGAUCUGGCACUUUGUGGUGGGCUCCCCCUUGCCUCCCUGCAGCCCCCCUUCUUCCCUAAAGGGAUGUGAAAUGGUUUGCAAAAACAAUCUCAGCACAGCAGAAUAAUAUAAUUGUAAAAUGUUUGAGAAAAAUGGAGCAAAGCAAAGGCAGCAUCAUUGACUCGGUGGCGGGAGCUCGCUUAUUUGGAGGGUGCGGGGAGUCGGGCUGAGGAUGGGACUGGAAGGAGAGAAGGCAAUUUCCAGGAUCUGUCGCUCAGAGUGAGCCCUGUCUGUGUCCCCUGCUUUCCUGGGUGGGGGUCAGAGCAGCCCUCUGCAGGGGAGGGGUGAUAGCAAGGAGACAGCCACGAGAUUCAGCCCUGGGGGCUACCAGCUUCAGGGGAAAUCCAGGAAGCUGGAAGCCUCCCUCUCUCUGUUCUCUCCUCCUCCUCUUAAUUGCUAUGUGCUUGAAAACCCUCCGGCGUAUUGACCCUUCGUCCCUCCCGAGAAGCAGCAGGACCAGGAAGGACUCGCGUCUCCCAGGCAGCCCGCUCUGCCCUGCGCCUCCAUUUCCUGGCAGUCAAAGGUGACUUUUUCCUCCUCGGAGGAAAGGCCUGUGCUAGGUUCACUCUGACGUCACCAAAAUAAGGAAAUAGCUGAGGAAGACGGCCACAGCUUCUACACUAAGAGAAACCCUACCAAAUUGCAGGGGAGUCUGAGGAAUAUUCCAGAAGGUUGGGGAAGACGUGGACUCCUUGAUGGGGAGCCAAGUCUAGCUUCCAUCUUCAGCAUCUGAGCAUGCCCCCUGCCUCCUCUGAGGACUCCUGCACCAAGGGGGCAGACAGGGAACUGCCAGGCUUUGGGCUCAGAAGACCCAGGCUUAAAUUCCACACACCCGCUGUGUGGCCUUGAGCCAGUUUCAUAACCUCUCUGAGCUUGUUUUCUCAUCUACAAAAUAAAGCUAAUAAUAUCUACCUCGAGAGUCACAGAUUAAAGACCAAAAGUGUGGAAAGCUC
Molecule: long non-coding RNA, 1770 nt
Organism: Lemur catta (Ring-tailed lemur)
Lineage: Eukaryota; Metazoa; Chordata; Mammalia; Primates; Lemuridae
Exons: 2
Source: RefSeq, a predicted model, not a curated record